RNAcentral lists this long non-coding RNA (7457 nucleotides) under Capsella rubella. Its description in RNAcentral is "long non-coding RNA (CRUB_LNC002615)". Lineage: Eukaryota; Viridiplantae; Streptophyta; Magnoliopsida; Brassicales; Brassicaceae. The record is from RNAcentral.
CUCUCUCUUCUUUUCUUCCUUUUCGCUCUUCUUUUCUUUCUCACUUUGAGUUUGGAUAUAAAAAAGCGAAGAAGCGUUUGUUUAUAUAAGGGAUAUUUUGCGACACUAUUGUGACCAUUUUCAAAGGAGUCGCAAAAUUUAGUUUCCAUCGAUUAUUUACAACGUUUUCAAACCACAAUUUCUGACUUAAUUGCGACUAAAACUAAUGGCGUUGCAAUAGUUUGUGAUAAGUCUGUAUUUCAUCGCUUUUUGAGCAUGAAUUCAUCAUCUUUUCAGCAUCAUUCACUUGUUGAUUCGCAUCAUAUUGAUCCCUUUCUGCAUGUUUUACAUACUUAGGUAGGUUUUAUGCAUAUCAUGCAUAUCUUGCAUACAUUGUGCAUAUUUGGAGUGUUUCAGGUACUUAGGAGACAUGCAGAGCGAAGCAGAGGAACAAGCGUUACUCGACAUGCACAUGAUCACACGCACUCGACAUGCACAUGAUCACACGCACUCGAGUGAGCAGCAGACGUAUACGAUCGAGUAGCUGAUCGAGCAGAAGGGAAGCGAAGCAGAACCACCUGUCACUCGAUGCACUCACUCGAGUGACAUGAUCGAGCAAAGCAAAGAAGUAGCUGAUGGUUUCACAGGUCACUCGACACAAUCACUCGAGGAACACGGUCGAGUAUGAAAUGAUGCAGAGAAGAAAUUAAGUGUUACUCGAUAUGCUCACUCGACCAACAUGACCAUUACAACUUUUAUACCGCUUUUACGUUGUCGUUUUAUGUUUUAAGGUUUUCCCAAACAUUGUUAUAAAUAGGUCUCAUUUGGAUUGCCCAAAGGAUCGAGUUUUAUUUUAUUAGGUUUUUGUUGUUAGCCACCAAACGAUCAUGAGAAUUGUAAUCCUGAUUUCUUUUGAGUCAUUGAUAUUUUGCAGUUAGUUCUUGAAUCAUUGUUGUUACUCUUCCUUUCAUCUUUAUUAUUAUGCAUGUUUUGAACGAUUCUUGUUUCAUGAUGUUUAACAUGAUUUCUGCGUCUGAGUAGUGUUAGGGUUCUUGAGGAUGGGAUAGAUUAGGUGGAGGAUGUUAGUUUGCUAGAGUGUUUAAGUUAGAUUCGUUUUGUUUCCCUUCUGGACUAGAGUUUUAUUAGCUAGUUCUUCUCUGAUCAAUUGGAACUGGGUCAUAGACAUUUCNNNNNNNNNNNNNNNNNNNNNNNNNNNNNNNNNNNNNNNNNNNNNNNNNNNNNNNNNNNNNNNNNNNNNNNNNNNNNNNNNNNNNNNNNNNNNNNNNNNNAGCAACGCAAAAGAGUUUCACCACCCCAAGUGGAGAUGGAAAACAUUCAACCACCACCCUCACCCCCACCACGGGCACCUACACGGAUUGGAGCUGGUGAUGCUCCACGCAAACAUACCCAUCGUCAGGGUAUAGUGACUCCAGCUGUGGCGAACAACAACUUUGAGAUCAAGAGUGGUCUGAUCUCCAUGGUCCAGCAGAAUAAAUUUCAUGGUCUGCCUAUGGAAGACCCCCUAGAUCACCUCGAUGAGUUCGAUCGUCUCUGCAGUCUCACCAAGAUCAAUGGGGUCAGUGAGGACGGUUUCAAGCUUAGUCUCUUUCCAUUCUCUUUGGGUGACAAAGCUCAUCAAUGGGAGAAAACUCUUCCUCCAGGAUCUAUCACUUCCUGGGAUCAAUGCAAGCAGUCGUUUCUUGCCAAGUUUUUCUCCAACUCUAGAACUGCACGUCUGCGCAAUGAGAUCUCUGGGUUCACUCAGAAGAAUGGAGAAACGCUUUGUGAAGCCUGGGAACGCUUCAAAAGUUAUCAGUCUCAGUGCCCCCACCAUGGCUUCACCAAGGAGUCUCUCCUCAGUACUCUUUACCGGGGUGUUCUCCCAAAGAUCCGGAUGUUGCUUGACACUGCAAGCAAUGGCAACUUUCUGAACAAGGACGUCGACGAAGGUUGGGAGCUUGUUGAGAACCUAUCCCAAUCUGAUGGCAACUACAAUGAAGAUUAUGAUCGAACCAUCAGUGCAAGCACAUAUCUUGAUGAGAAGUACAAGAAGGAGAUGAAAGCUGUGAAUGAUAAGUUGGACAAGCUAUUGAUGAGCCAGCAGAGGAACAUCCAUUUUGUCUCUGAAGACGACCCUUUCCAGAUUCUGAAUGGGGAGGGAGAACAAUCUGAGGAGAUAAGUUAUGUCCAGAACCAAGGUGGAUACAAUAAGGGAUACAAUCCUUAUAAGCAUAAUCCCAAUCUGUCCUAUCGGAGCACCAAUGUUGCAAACCCCCAGGAUCAGGUUUAUCCACCUCCACAACAGAAGCAGCAGGGGCAGAACAAACCAUUUGUACCCUACAACCAAGGUUAUGUGCCCAAACAACAAUUUCAGCAAGGUUACCAACCUCCAGCAGGACCACCACCAGGAUUCCAACCUUAACAGGCUCCGCCUCUUCAGGCACCAGAUCAAGACAUGAAAAACAUGCUUCAGCAACUCCUACAGGGACAAGCAAGUGGCUCCAUGGACAAUGAUAAGAAGUUUGCUGAGCUGGCUUAGAGAUUGGACUGCUCAUACAAUGAUUUGAACAUGAAGAUUGAGACUCUGAAUUCAAAGAUCAAGUAUAUGGAAGGCAAAACUGCUUCUACUUCUGCCCCAAAGCCUGGCCAACUCCCAGGAAAAGCUGUUCAGAAUCCUAAGGAGUUUGCUCAUGCCAUCACGCUGAGGAGCGGUAAAAAAUUGCCUCCCAGACAAGGACCUGUUGUAGUCACUGAGGACAGUGAAGACUUGGGAGGGGAGGAUGUAUGUCAGAAUGAAGAGCCGGUUGUUCUUUUGGAAGAAUCAGAAGUCGUACCUGAAGAAGCUCCUCAACCUGCCGAGAAACAUGCUGAAACACCUGCAACAUCCAAGGAUAAGCCUACGAGAUACGUUCCCCCACCAUACAAACCACCUCUACCAUUUCCAGGACGAUUCAAAAAGCAGCAAGCUGAAAAGUAUAAGGCUUUAUUUGAAAAGCAAGUGAUAGAGAUUGAGUUGAGAAUGCCAUUGCUGGAUGCAUUCGCACUUGUCCCUCCUUAUCAGAAGUUCCUCAAAGAUUUGGUUAUGGAGAGAACAAAAGAAGUCCAGGGCAUGGUGAUAUUGAGUCAUGAAUGCAGUGCCAUUAUCCAGAAGAAGAUCACUCCCUUGAAGCUUAAGGAUCCUGGAUCCUUCACUCUACCAUGCUCACUAGGCCCCCUAUCUUUCAGUAGAUGCCUAUGUGAUCUUGGAGCUUCUGUGAGUCUUAUGCCAUUGUUUGUGGCUAAGCGUUUAGGAUUCACAAGAUACAAGGCAUGCAACAUAUCUCUCAUUCUAGCUGACAGAUCAGUGAGGCACCCACAUGGACUCUUGGAAGACCUGCCAAUAAGAAUUGGUGUUGUUGAAGUUCCCACAGAUUUUGUUGUUUUGGAAAUGGAUGAAGAGCAUAAGGAUCCCCUGAUUCUUUGAAGACUAUUCCUAGCCACUGCUGGAGCUAUCAUUGAUGUUAAGAAGGGAAAGAUAGACCUAUGCUUGGGAGAAGAUUUCAAGAUGACAUUUGACAUCAAGGAGUCUAUGAAGAAACCAACAAUCAAUGGCAAGGUGUUCUGGAUAGAGGAGAUGGAUCAGAUAGCUGAUGAACUUUUAGAAGAACUUGCUGAGGAGGAUCAUCUCAAGACAGCCUUGACAAAGAGUGGAUCAGAUGGAUUUCUUCAUGCUGAGACAAAGGUCUACGAAACGUUACUGGAUACCUACAAGGCAAGUGAUGAUUCAGAACGUUUUGAGAAAUUUGAUAAGUCUGUCAAGGAGGUAUGCUCAGUAGAGGAGGAAGUCAGUGGCAGCCCAAUCACUCACCCUGCUGUUGACCCUGUCAAUGCGGCUGAUGAUAACUAGUCAGAGUUAAAAGCUCCCAAGGUUGAGCUCAAACCGCUACCCUCAAGACUGAGAUAUGUAUUCCUUGGAUCCAACUCUACUUAUCCUGUCAUUGUGAAUGCUAGCUUGAGUAAUGAGGAAUUAGAGUUGCUAGUCACUGAGCUUAGAAAAUAUAGAAGGGCCAUAGGUUAUUCCUUAGAUGAUAUCAAGGGGAUCUCACCUAGUCUCUGCAUGCAUAGGAUUAAUCUGGAAAAUGAAUCAUACACUAGUAUUGAACCUCAAAGGAGAUUGAAUCAUAACCUUAAGGAAGUUGUGAAAAAAGAAAUUCUUAAACUGUUGAAUGCUGGGGUUAUCUAUCCUAUCUCUGAUAGUACUUGGGUAUCCCCAGUACAUUGCGUACCCAAGAAAGGGGGAAUUACAGUGAUAAAAAUGAAAAAGAUGAAUUGAUCCCCACUAGGACUAUCACUGGCCAUAGGAUGUGCAUUGAUUACAGAAAACUAAAUGCUGCAUCUAGGAAAGAUCAUUUUCCUCUUCCUUUCAUUGAUCAAAUGUUAGAACGAUUAGCGAAUCAUCCCUACUACUGUUUCCUUGAUGGGUAUACCGGAUUUUUCCAAAUUCCUAUCCACCCAAAUGAUUAGGAAAAGACUACUUUCACUUGUCCCUAUGGCACAUUUGCCUACAGACGCAUGCCUUUUGGUUUGUGUAAUGCACCUGCAACAUUUCAGAGGUGUAUGACCUCUAUAUUCUCGGAUUUGAUAGACGAGAUGGUGGAGGUAUUCAUGGAUGAUUUUUCCGUGUAUGGCUCCUCAUUCUCCUCAUGUUUGUUGAAUCUCUGCAGGGUAUUAGCAAGAUGUGAGGAGACAAGCCUAGUGCUCAACUGGGAGAAGUGCCACUUCAUGGUGAACGAAGGUAUAGUGUUGGGACACAAGGUAUCAGAGAAAGGGAUUGAGGUUGAUAAGACAAAGAUUGAGGUCAUGGUACAGUUGCAACCUCCAAAGUCAGUCAAGGAUAUAAUGAGUUUCCUUGGGCAUGCUGGGUUUUACAGAAGAUUCAUCAAGGACUUCUCAAAGAUUGCACGACCCCUUACAAGACUGUUGUGCAAGGAGGUCGAGUUUGUUGUUGAUGAGAGCUGUCUGGAAGCUUUCAACAAGAUCAAGGAAGCGUUAGUCUCAGCACCAAUAGUCCAAGCUCUAGACUGGGAUCAUCCUUUUGAGAUAAUGUGUGAUGCCUCAGAUUAUGCAGUAGGGGCUGUGUUGGGACAGCGAAUAGAGAAGAAACUGCAUGUCAUCUACUAUGCGAGCAGAACCCUUGAUGAGACACAAGGGAGGUAUGCAACAACAGAGAAAGAGCUCUUGGCUGUAGUCUUUGCGUUUGAGAAAUUCAGAAGUUACUUGGUAGGAUCAAAAGUUGUAGUCUACACAGACCAUGCUGCGCUUAGGCAUAUAUACUCCAAGAAGGAUACCAAGCCGAGACUGCUGAAAUGGAUACUUCUACUACAGGAGUUUGAUAUGGAGAUUGUUGAUAAGAAGGGGAUAGAGAACGGCGUUGCUGAUCACCUGUCCAGAAUGAGAAUAGAAGAUCCAGUCCCUAUUGAUGACUCUAUGCCUGAAGAACAUCUUAUGGUUGUUGAGAUAUGCAAGAAGAUGCAUCAAACAGGAAUGGCUAUGAAGGAGCUUCAAUGUCUAGCUGUCAAUUCAGAGAGUAUGCCCUGGUAUGCGGAUGUGGUUAACUACAAGGUCUGUGGAGAGAUUCCUGCAGACAUGGAUGCUUAUAGGAAAAAGAAGUUUUUCAGAGAUGUCAACCACUAAUUCUGGGAUGAACCUUACCUGUACAAGAGGGGUUCAAAUGGGCUGUUUAGGAGAUGCAUAGCAGAAUGGGAAGUACAGGGAGUGCUUGAGCACUGUCAUGGAUCCGCAUAUGGAGGACACUUCGCUACAUUCAAAACAGUUCAGAAGGUUCUGCAAGCAGGGCUUUGGUGGCCAACGUUGUUCAAGGAUACAAACAGUUUCAUCACCAAGUGUGACGCUUGCCAGAGGAUGGGUAACAUCAACAAAAGGAAUGAGAUGCCUCAGAACCCGAUUUUGGAAGUAGAAAUUUUUGAUGUUUGGGGAAUUGAUUUCAUGGGACCGUUCAAUCCUCCAUCAAAUGGCAACGUCUACAUUCUGGUUGCAGUUGAUUAUGUUUCAAAAUGGGUUGAAGCCAUUGCAAGUCCCACCAAUGAUCACAAGGUUGUUCUGAAACUGUUCAAGAGCAUCAUCUUUCCCAUGUAUGGAGUACCAAGAGCAGUGAUCAGUGAUGGUGGUACACACUUCAUCAACAAAGUUUUUGAAAGCAUGUUGAAGAAAUAUGGUGUGAAUCAUAAGGUGUCUACAGCCUACCAUCACCAGACAUGUGGAAAAGUUGAGGUCUCUAACAAGCAGAUAAAAGAAAUCUUGUCAAGAGUUGUUGGGGCUUCGAAAAAAGAUUGGUCUAUCAAUUUGGAUGAUUCUCCUAGGAAGGACACCUUUUCAGCUGGUGUAUGGCAAAGCAUGUCAUCUCCCUGUGGAGAUUGAGUAUAACGCAUUUUGGGCUAUAAAACUUCUGAACUUGGACAUUGAUGCAGCCCAGGCAAAGAGAGUUCUUGACAUCCAUGAACUUGAGGAAAUCAAACUUGAUGCUUUUGAAAGUUCAAAAAUCUACAAGGAGAGAACCAAAGCUUUCCAUGACAAGAGGAUUGUUGUUAAGGAGUUUAAGGCUGGAGAUCACGUCUUGCUGUUCAAUUCCAGACUUAAGCUGUUUCCUGGAAAGCUCAAGUCUAGAUGGUCUGUACCGUUUGAAAUCAAGGAUGUUAUAUUGCUUAGGAUUUUUUGUGUUUUUGAUUUUUGUUUUUGGUUUUCUGUUGGUCAGGAUUUCAGAUAGAUGAAGUAAUGCAAAAAAUAUCAGAAGAGUUAAAAACAGAGUGAGGUGCAGAUGUAUAAUCGAGUAUGACACGAAAAAUAUGGAAUGGGAGACAUGUUUAGGAUCCUCCAAAAAAAAAAAAAAAAAAAAAAAAGAAAAAAAAAAAAACUCAGUCGACCCACACCCCUUAUCCUCUCCCUAUCCCUUUCUCUUUUACCACACAAAAUCUUAUCCUCCCUCUACAUCUCUCACUCGAUUUCUUUCACAAACUUCUCACCUUUUUCUCUCAUCCCUCUCACUCGAUUCUCCAUCUCUCGCCUCCUCAACCUCGCAGCUACCACUCGACCGUGUUCACUCGAGCACCGAGGCUCACGCGACCCGUACUCACCAUCCGCUCUCGCUCUCGCUCGACUCGUCGGAUUUCAGCCCACUCGACCAGCGAAGAGUUUAGAAUCGGUGUCACUCACGACCCCACUCGACAAGCUCUUCCCAUUCACUCGAGCAUAGGAGCCCUCACCGCAUCCUCGGCUUACGGAAACUCCACUCGGCUAUCCUCACUCGACAAUUCACUCGACGUAAGCAGCCACCACUCGAGCUUCCCAUUGAUUUACUCUACAUACGCGUGUGUACCUCGACCGAGCACAAGUUCACUCGACCGAACCCAGCUGGAUACUCACUCGACCGGUGCGUCUCUCUCACUCGACCCGCUAGUGCCUUGCAUAGCUCACUCGACUGA